AGUACCAUGAAGAAGAUAAAUCCUCGAUCUCCUCGAGGUCCUACAUGGAAAGCACCCAAGUGCGCACAACAGGAAAACGGAGUUGACUGUGGCCUAUACGUGAUGAGAUUCAUGUAUGACAUAGUGAUGAGUCAUUGUACAGACACACGUCAGCUUGAAGAGUUUUGCAAGGGGCAAACGGG
Long non-coding RNA from Chenopodium quinoa (quinoa), 182 nucleotides. RefSeq lists it as uncharacterized. NCBI's taxonomy places the organism in Eukaryota, Viridiplantae, Streptophyta, Magnoliopsida, Caryophyllales, Amaranthaceae. The record is from RefSeq and is a predicted model, not a curated record. The transcript has 3 exons.